RNA transcript from Drosophila ananassae, 1680 nucleotides. RefSeq lists it as uncharacterized. The record is from RefSeq and is a predicted model, not a curated record. The transcript has 7 exons. Lineage: Eukaryota; Metazoa; Arthropoda; Insecta; Diptera; Drosophilidae.
AUAAACGGCCCAUGCUGCUGACCUGGUUAAUUGUUGUUCUCAUUUUCGCAGUUCUUGUGAUGAUUGUAAAGAUCUGGGAACUUGUGUUCGUGUGGAAGGAGUGGGGAAUAAUAUUGGGUAUAGUUUCAAUUGUGUUUUACAUCGCGUUAAUUUUUUGUUUUCUUUACUAUCCGUAUGUGUACCAAAGGAACCUGAAAAGUGAACAAAAUUACUAUUGACAGUAUUGAGUUCACUUUAGGCAUAUUAGUAAACUAUGUCUUCGUAGAAAGUAAAUAAAAAUUGUUAGAAGGAAUACACAGUUGUUGAUUAGGUUUUAAAAUUUACUUUUCAGAGAUCUUGCACGAAGUGUUUUUUAAGUUUGACUUUAUAAGGAUUCUUUUUUGUGUUGUAAUAGGGUAAUCACUUAAUAUAAAAAAAAAUAAAUAAACUAAUUAUGAGUUUACUGAUUGUUUCAAUAAAGUUUCCAAUAAUAAAAAAAAUACCUUUAAAAGUAUAUAGCCCUCUUCUAAAUCGGUCGGAAUUAUUAUUGGAAUGGUACUUUCAUUGGUAAAAUAAUUAAAAGAAUAAUAUUUAUUCAUAUUCUUAGGAAAAGAAAUCUUGGUUUAUAAUUUUAUAAUGGUAUCUUGAUAAUUUUUAUAAUGGUCACGUCUAUGAUCCUUCUCACAUAGGUUUGGACUAUUAAAGUCUAGAUAUCUAGUUGUCCCUUUAUUUACAGUCAGUCCCAAUUACUGAUUUAUUUUUUGGGACACAUUUGGUUUUUUUUUUUUUUAAAAAUGGGCUGUCCAGGUUGUAGUCUAAAAACUUCUUGCAUAUGGGUCGCAUGUGCUGCGGUUGCUUUGGGUUUUGUUACGUUGAUAAUCACUGGUAUUAAAAUGGAAACUAAUGGAUUAAACGAUAUUUCAAUUAUCAGAAUAGCUUUAAAUAUCUUAUUUAUAAUUGGAGCUUUGUGUCUCUUCGUCGGCACUAUAUCGGAGAAAAAAACUCUUGUGAAAAUAUGGAUCGCAAUUGCUAUAUUUUGCACAUUUAGUCUGUUGUUUUGUACUUUUAUUUAUUUAUUAACCAAUUGGAAGAAAUUAUCGGCGUGGCCAAGAAUACAUUCAUUUUUGUACGUUUUAUUGGUUUGCGUUGCACUUUUCUUCUGGACUUUCUUUCCACGGCGUUAUUACAGAGAAUUAGAUAAUCUCAGUGACUAGUAAGCAUUCCGGAUUUAAAUUCUUUAUCAAUAAAAUUGGGCUGGAAAUCGAUGUUAUCCUGCUUUGAAACAGCCAGGAUUUAAUGGAUAAAAUGGCUAUUGCGGAAUUAUUAUCUACCAGCUAUUGGCAUGAAAAUUUUGGCUCCCAUGCAUGGACUUUCGACUUAAUUAUUGUGUAGAUCCUAGUUCUCAUUGCUGCUUAGUGCUUGAUUUUUGGGCCAUGAUUGGCAAUUACAGCUUCGAUCUUUGGAGUACAUCUCGAUCCAGUAAAGAAGCUUCAUGAUGAUGAUCUGGACCACAAUGGCUCUCGUUUGCUGGGUAUUUAAAAAAUUGCAAUUAAUGUCAGCUUGUGGACGCUCAGGAGAUUUAUUCUCAAUGCUCCUUGGUUUUAUUAACUAUAUACAUGAGCUCAGGAGAGGCCUGGACUAGGCGCCCAUCUUUAAAAAGUUUUGACCGAAAUCGAAAUAAAUUUAAUGUUGGCGACUGCA